GGGUGGUCUUGAAAGGAGCGACUCUGGUUGCGAUCCGGCCGAGCGAGCAGCCCAAGAAGGAGGUGGCGGGAUCGGAGGCAAAUUGGGUUGCAUCGGCAUUUGAGGAGCCAUUUGGGACUGCUGCAAGGAUGUUGGUGAAGAGGAGGACCUACUGCCUCGAAAUGAACUCUUUCUGAAGGAGGGGCCUUGUUUGAGAUGAUGAGACAGAUGCAUGAGGUACUUCCCUUUUUUAUGAUGUGGUUGAAUGCUAGGAGUAUAUUGUAUUCUCUGUUUUCUGUUGCUUUUUUCCCAUUCCCUUCGAAGUUAUAUUAUCAAUUAUCUUGUUUAUUGUCUCUUGUUAGUUUAUUCUUGUUAAUGUUUCAAUGAUAGUAAACCGCUCUGUGUAGGUUUCUGAAAAUCAUGGGUGUCAUAUUCUUGAUUAAUAAGUUCUGUUACCAAUUGCAUAUGGUUUUGCACUAAAUUACACAUUGGAUCCCCUAUUACAUAAGAGAGGUGCUUGAAGUAUGUCUUAAUCUAAAUAGUUUUGCCAGUCUGGUUCCAAUAAUUUCCUGAUAUUAGAGAUAUUAUCUUGCAUUCUGCCAUAUUUCAUGCUAUUUUCUUGGUUCUUCAUCUGUUUUGAAAUUUGAUUGUUUACAAAUGAAGAUGCUUGUUGUAAUACUGUUUCAUUGGUUCUGCAUCUUAUCAAUUGAGGUUGGAAGGGCACCGUCUAUCUCCAUUUCUAGAAAGCUAGGUGAAAUUUUCGUUCCGUUGUGAUGCAUCUGUCAUCUGGCUGGGACAUUGUGAAUGCGUUGUGAUUGUGAUUAUGGCAAACCAAUACGAAGUUGAAUGACUUAAGAGUUCUGCCAUGAUAACCUUUUAAUGUCUUCCAUUUCUCAAUUAACGUUGUAAGCUUGUUAUUAUUCAUGCCUAAGCUGCUAUGCCCAACCACUUUCUCUGUUCACGGAUUUCGCGUUUGCACUCUAGUUUUUGGGGAAUUCUGUGCUGCCACUGCGAUAUUGUCAUCUCUUAUAAGCUCUUCUUUCUUUAAAUACUGAUCUUUUUCUCCCUAAUCUAUUGGUAAUUCUGAUUUCUUUGUUCUAUACAAGGAUCUUUCAGGUAGAGUGUGGCAACGGAAGGUCCCAAAAGCGCAGAGCACGAAUUUUGUCUUGAGCAGAGCAAGCUGCAAGCCAGUUGCCGGCCAAGUUCAUACGGCUUCCGGUUACGACGUUGGUGGUUGAUGAAGAGCCUGCAAUUGAUGAUCAAACUGCUUUCAUUUUGAAUACUUUAAAGAGGGGGGGUGCUAUGCAACUGGAUAAUCAUGUUGUAAGAGUUAUGAGAUUUUGAUAAUCUGUCUGUGUUAGUUAUAUGUAUAUGUGAAUAUUGUAGGUAUGAUAUGACCAUCUAUGCUUAUCUGCUCUCCUUUUUCUGAAAGGUUCAGCUGCAUAUUAUAUUUUAGCUGAUUUACCCACCAAUAAAUGUCAAAACGCCUCUUCAUUUCUAUUAAUCAAGGAUAUUUUGUAGUUCAAUCUUCAUUUGUUUAUUUCUGCUAGGGUAGCAAAAUGAUUUUAUUUACUCAAUUCUUCGAUAUUUUUUCUAUGGUAUUAUCCUUUGAUUGUGACUGCCAUUUUCUCCACACCCUUCUAUUCUUCAUCAAUCAUCACUGCGCUAUAUAAUUAAAAGGACUAUAAAACAAAAUGAACAUAUAAAAAUAGUUGAUAUUAUAUGCAAAACCCUACUAUUCUUUUUACGGAGACUACGAAGUCAAAAAACAUAAUUAAUUUUGAAAAAUUAUAGUACUCUUUUCAGUAUACAAAAAAUUUGUCAUAUAUAUAUUUUUUCCGAUCUGUUCACGAAAACAUGUUAUUUAUAUUUAUAAUAGUAGAGUUCACACAACUUCACACACAUUAAAAUUGAGACUCUAGCUCUAUUAAAAAUUUUAUUCGCAUUUUAUUAAAAUUUAUGCUAUCUAUAAUGUGACAAUUUUUUUUGUGGACAGAUGAAUAGGUGUAACAAACGGAUUAUGUAAUUACUACUCCCCGUCCACGAAAAAUAAAAAUACUAGUUUCUUUUUAUUAUUUUGGGGUAUCCACGAAAAUUGAUCUCUAUACAUUAUUGAAAACUUUCUAUCAAGUGGUGAACUAUUUUCGCUACUCACAAUACAAUUAAUUAUCAUUAUUAAUAUUAUUUUUUUAAAUGAGACUCCUCUAUUUGUGAUACACUCAAUUAUUUUUAUUAAAAUUUGUGUCAUCCUCUUCUAUGACUAUUUUUUUGUGGACAAAUAGAUUAUUUGUGAGUAUAUUUUGGUAAAAAAAAAACGGUUGAAAACUUGAAAUCACACAUGUAUGAAUCAUUGAAUUGGAUCCUCUUCUUCAAUAUCAAUUCAGUGAAAUCUUGGAGACUCGAAUUAUUAGUGUUAGUAGGUAAAAAUGCCCACUUUGUUAAGUGUAAAAUUAAAAAUCUCACUUUUUAUAAAAACUUGAUCAUAUGCCCAAAUUAAAGUGAUGAAUCGAAAUUAUCCUUGGAUGUUGAUGAUUUUGCAUCAACUUUUGUGUAACUUUUUCUGAUACAAAUACAAAUAUUUAAGAAAAAUAUAAGAAAAAGUAGUCUGCUGUCGGAAAAGUAGGUUGUCACUCGAGCGGCAACCUACUUAGUGAGGUUGCCGCUCGUACGACAAGCUACUUUUUUGACCGGUAAGCUACAUUUUUAAUUGAAAAUUUUAAUUUGUUACAAGAAAAAGUAGGUUGCCGCUCGGGAGGCAACCUACUUAGUGAGGUUGCCAAUCGAGCGACAACCUACUUUUCCGACAACUGACUACUCCCUCCGUCCGCCAAAAAUAUGACACUUUGGCUGGGCACGAGAUUUAAUAAAAUUGGUAAUAAUGUUGAUGUAGUGGAGAAAUGGUCUCACAAUUUUAUGAGAUGUGUGGUUGAAAUUGAAUUUGAGGUGAAUUUUUUGUAAAUAAAGAGUGUUUGUAAGGAUAAAAUAUAAAAAUGGAUGGUGGGACCAUUGCCUUAAAAGGAAAGUUGUAUAAUCUUUGCGGACGCCCAAUAUAGUAAUUGUGUCAUACUUUUGGCGGACAUAUGAGAUAUUUUUUAUCUUACAAGUACACUGAUUGAGACAUGAAGGGUAGUUUAGGUAUUUUGAGUAUAUGAUUAAGUUUUUAUAAUAUGUGGAUAUUUUUAAUUUUUGACUUAACCAAAUAGGCAUAAAAAAUUCCGCCUCCGAAUUAUUAGUUACUAGAAAAUUAAAAGAGAAGAAAAGAAAAAAGAAGAAAAGAAAAUACUAGUAUAAUAUAGAAAAAAUACAGUAUAAAAAUAAAACGGAACGACAGGCAGCAAUGUCGUUUGGGAAUUCAACUGUCCCAGGCUCCGCAUAUCUACUGUCAUAGGCUCAUAGCCAUAGGCACUUAAAAAGCAAAGAAAAAAAAGAAAGAAAAAAACGAGAAGAAAGAAAAACACGCACAACACACACCACACCACCAUUUUCCUCUUCCUCCUCCUUCACUCACUUCUCCCAAAUUCCCCCCACCUCAUUAAACUCCCACCCUAAUUCCACAAAUCCAAACUCUCUCCCUCUCUCUCUCAGAUCCAUUGAGUUUGUUUGACUCAAUUUCUUCCUUCACAUCUUUCUACCUAAACUCGCUUGAAAUCACCUUCCGAUUCUCGUGUAUCUGGUGCCAACUUGUUGGGGGUGUUUUGGCUCAAGAGCUCGAAUUGUCGCUGAAAGCUAUGGCUUCGAUUGGAGCAGAUCUGUGCCGCAAAAUCUACCCCGAGCCGGUCGACCACUUCGAUCGGUUGCCGGACUCUCUCAUCCUCUUGAUCUUCAAUAAAAUCGGAGACGUGAAGGCGCUGGGCCGAUGCUGCGUCGUUUCGAGGCGGUUCCACUCGCUCGUUCCCCAAGUCGACAACGUCGUAGUCCGCGUCGACUGCGUCAUCUCCGAUGACGAUCCUUCCUCCAACUCUUCUUCGUCCGCAUCCGGUUCCGCCGCCGGCGACAAGUCGCGCCACCCUAUCUCCUCCCUCUUCCGCAUCUUCUUCUCCGGGAUCUUCAAACCCUUGCAGUCCCUGUCUCAGCUCAUCACCCCCUCGGCGCGCCGGCUUCCUCUUUCGGAGGUAUUUCGACUGCGAAGCGGAGCAGAGCACCGUCACACACCAUUCGCCGACGCAGGUCUUGAAGAAUUCAACGAGAUCAAGCUGCUCAGGAUAGAGCCUCCCCGACGGGGGAGCUGGGGAUUGAUGAAGGCGUUUUGCUCAAAUGGAAGCGGAAUUCGGCUCCACGCUUGACAGCUGCGUGAUUCUCGGAGCUUCGAGCGUCGUGCAGAGUGCAAAUAGCGGCUACAAUUGCCUGGGCGCUUGCAAUACCGCAAUUGGUGGUGAUAGUGGAGUGGAGAACGAUAAUGGUAGCAUACCGGAAUCGUUCUACACCAACGGAGGCCUGAAGCUGCGCGUUGUGUGGACCAUCAGCUCGUUGAUCGCCGCCUCCGCCAGGCAUUACCUUCUGCAGCCUAUAAUAGCGGAGCACAAGACGCUCUCGAGCUUGGUUUUGACGGAUGCUGAUGGGCAAGGGGUGCUGUCUAUGAAUAAGGAGCAGCUGGAGGAGCUGAGGGUGAAGCCUCUGUCAGCGUCGUCGGCUUCGAAGAGGACUCUUGUUCCGGCUCUCAACAUGCGUUUGUGGUAUGCUCCUCAUCUCGAGUUGCCUAACGGGGUGGUCUUGAAAGGAGCGACUCUGGUUGCGAUCCGGCCGAGCGAGCAGCCCAAGAAGGAGGUGGCGGGAUCGGAGGCAAAUUGGGUUGCAUCGGCGUUUGAGGAGCCAUUUGGGACUGCUGCAAGGAUGUUGGUGAAGAGGAGGACCUACUGCCUCGAAAUGAACUCUUUCUGAAGGAGGUGGCUUAUCUAAGGAUGAAGAGACAGAUGCAUGAGGUAUUUUCUCUUUUUUCUCUUUUUUUACAGAAUCCUUUAAUAAGUUUUGAUUGUUUCGGAGAUCUGUGGUUGAAUGCUAGCUAGUAUAUUGUAAUUCUUCAUUCUGUUGCUUUUUAUCUUAGGUUCGAAGUUGAAUUGUCUCUUGUUUGUUUAUUCUUAUUGCUGUUUCAAUGAUAAUAAAUUACUCUGUCUUGGUUUCUGAAAAUCAUGAGCAAUUUCUCAUACCAAUUGCUUCUGAUUUUUCCCUAAAUUGCAUAUUGGAUUCCCAAUUACAUAAGAGGGGUGCUUGAAGCUAUUGACUCCCUUUGCAUCUGUCUUAUUCCAAAGAGUUUUUCCACUCUGAUUCCAAUUGCGUCCUGAUUUUGGAUCCACUAUGUUGUUAUCUUGCAGUCUGUCACAUUCCCUUCAAUUUUGUUGGUUCAUAAUUUUUUUACUCCAAAUGAAGAAGAAUCAGAAGAUGCUUGUUGUGAACUACUUGAUCUGUUCUUUAUCUUAUCUAAUGGGAAUUGAAGGGCACUGUGUAUCUCCAUUGCUAGAAAGAUUGGUGGAAAUUUCAUUCUGCUAUGAUGCAUCUGUUUGGUUUUUAUACUCCUUACGUUUCUCAGUUAACCAUUUUAUAUCUAAGCUGUUGUGAGAGUGACUCUUGACCAGUUUCCUGUUUGAAUACUAGUUUUUGGGAAAUUCUGUGCUGCAACUGCGACAUCACCAUCUGUUUUAAGCUUUGAUUUCUUGAAUCCGUUUUAUAUCAGUGAUCCUGACUUCCUUAUUCAAGUAUCUUUCAGGUAAGCGAAGGUAAGGUCCCAAAAUCGCAGAGUGCAAAUUUUGUCUUGAGCAGAGCAAGCUGCAAGCGAGUUGCCGGCAANCAUUCGGCGAGAUAAAUCAUCUUUCCGUACACCGAAUUUAUAUAGCAGGAUUUUUUAUGGGAAAAACUGAAGUUAGGAUUUUUAGAGGAAAAUGAAAGUUCGGGACAUUUUGUGGAAAACGCUGAAAGUUCGGGACAUAAAACAGUAUUAACCCAAAUUAAAAUCAUAUUUUGUUAAUUUAAUCUUCAAUAGUAUCUUUUCUAUCAAAUAAAAAUAUUAAUUAUGAUAUAAUUAUAUCUUACAUAUCAGACACAUAUAAAUUCCUCCCUGAAAUAAUACUCCCUCCGUCCGCCAAAAGUAUGGCACUUUGGCUGGGCACGGAGAUUAAUAAAAUUAGUGAUGAUGUUGAUGUAGUGGAGAAAGGGUCCCACCACUUUUUGAGAUGUGUGGUGGAGAUUGAAUUUGGGGUGGGUUUUUUGUAAAUAAAGAGUGUUUGUAAGGAUAAAAUAUAAAGGUGGAUGGUGGGACCAUUGCUUUAAAAGGAAAGUUGUAUACUUUUUGCGGACGCCCAAUAUAGUAAUUGUGCCAUACUUUUGGCGGACAGAUGAGAUAUUUUUUAUCUUACAAGUACACUGAUUGAGAUAUGAAGGGUAAUUUAAGUAUUUUGGAUAUAUGAUCAAGUUUUUAUAACAUGUGGACAUUUUUAUUUUUGACUUAACAAAGUGGGCAUAAAAAAAUCCGCCUCCGAAUUAUUAGUUACUAGAAAAUAAAAGAGAAGAAAAGAAAAAAGAAGAAAAGAAAAUACUACUCCCUCCGUCCACGAAUUAAAGCCCUACUUGCACUUAAAUUUUUGUCCACCAAUUAAAGCCCUAUUGUGCUUUAUGUACCUUAUUACUCUUCUUCUUUUCCUAUAUUUACUACCCUUUGCCACUAAUGGACCCACCUUACAACAACUUUAUUAUUUUUAUAUUCUAUAUUUAUUACACUUUAUCACUAAUGGACCCACCACACAACACCUUUAACACUUUAGUCAACCAAUUUAUCACUUUAGUCAACUACCCUUAUAUUUCAUCCACAACACCUUUUUUAGUUUUCUUAGUCUCCGUGCCCACCCUCAAAUGGGGCUUUAAUUCGUGGACGGAGGGAGUAUAAUAUAGAAAAAAUACAGUAUAAAAAUAAAACGGAACGACAGGCAGCAAUGUCGUUUGGGAAUUCAACUGUCCCAGGCUCCGCAUAUCUACUGUCAUAGGCUCAUAGCCAUAGGCACUUAAAAAGCAAAGAAAAAGAAAGAAAGAAAAAAACAAGAAGAAAAGAAAAACACGCACAACACACACCACACCACCAUUUUCCUCUUCCUCCUCCUUCACUCACUUCUCCCAAAUUCCCCCCACCUCAUUAAACUCCCACCCUAAUUCCACAAAUCCAAACUCUCUCCCUCUCUCUCUCAGAUCCAUUGAGUUUGUUUGACUCAAUUUCUUCCUUCACAUCUUUCUACCUAAACUCGCUUGAAAUCACCUUCCGAUUCUCGUGUAUCUGGUGCCAACUUGUUGGGGGUGUUUUGGCUCAAGAGCUCGAAUUGUCGCUGAAAGCUAUGGCUUCGAUUGGAGCAGAUCUGUGCCGCAAAAUCUACCCCGAGCCGGUCGACCACUUCGAUCGGUUGCCGGACUCUCUCAUCCUCUUGAUCUUCAAUAAAAUCGGAGACGUGAAGGCGCUGGGCCGAUGCUGCGUCGUUUCGAGGCGGUUCCACUCGCUCGUUCCCCAAGUCGACAACGUCGUAGUCCGCGUCGACUGCGUCAUCUCCGAUGACGAUCCUUCCUCCAACUCUUCUUCGUCCGCAUCCGGUUCCGCCGCCGGCGACAAGUCGCGCCACCCUAUCUCCUCCCUCUUCCGCAUCUUCUUCUCCGGGAUCUUCAAACCCUUGCAGUCCCUGUCUCAGCUCAUCACCCCCUCGGCGCGCCGGCUUCCUCUUUCGGAGGAUUUCGACUGCGAAGCGGAGCAGAGCACCGUCACACACCAUUCGCCGACGCAGGUCUUGAAGAAUUUCAACGAGAUCAAGCUGCUCAGGAUAGAGCUCCCCACGGGGGAGCUGGGGAUUGAUGAAGGCGUUUUGCUCAAAUGGAAGGCGGAAUUCGGCUCCACGCUUGACAGCUGCGUGAUUCUCGGAGCUUCGAGCGUCGUGCAGAGUGCAAAUAGCGGCUACAAUUGCCUGGGCGCUUGCAAUACCGCAAUUAGUGGUGAUAGUGGAGUGGAGAACGAUAAUGGUAGCAUACCGGAAUCGUUCUACACCAACGGAGGCCUGAAGCUGCGCGUGGUGUGGACCAUCAGCUCGUUGAUCGCCGCCUCCGCCAGGCAUUACCUUCUGCAGCCUAUAAUAGCGGAGCACAAGACGCUCUCGAGCUUGGUUUUGACGGAUGCUGAUGGGCAAGGGGUGCUGUCUAUGAAUAAGGAGCAGCUGGAGGAGCUGAGGGUGAAGCCUCUGUCAGCGUCGUCGGCUUCGAAGAGGACUCUUGUUCCGGCUCUCAACAUGCGUUUGUGGUAUGCUCCUCAUCUCGAAUUGCCUAACGGGGUGGUCUUGAAAGGAGCGACUUGGUGCGAUCCGGCCGAGCGAGCAGCCCAAGAAGGAGGUGGCGGGAUCGGAGGCAAAUUGGGUUGCAUCGGCAUUUGAGGAGCCAUUUGGGACUGCUGCAAGGAUGUUGGUGAAGAGGAGGACCUACUGCCUCGAAAUGAACUCUUUCUGAAGGAGGUGGCUUAUCUAAGGAUGAAGAGACAGAUGCAUGAGGUAUUUUCUCUUUUUUCUCUUUUUUUUACAGAAUCCUUUAAUAAGUUUUGAUUGUUUCGGAGAUCUGUGGUUGAAUGCUAGCUAGUAUAUUGUAAUUCUUCAUUCUGUUGCUUUUUAUCUUAGGUUCGAAGUUGAAUUGUCUCUUGUUUGUUUAUUCUUAUUGCUGUUUCAAU
This 8653-nucleotide long non-coding RNA is filed under the name Salvia miltiorrhiza (redroot sage). RNAcentral describes it as "long non-coding RNA (SMIL_LNC006343)". The record is from RNAcentral. Lineage: Eukaryota; Viridiplantae; Streptophyta; Magnoliopsida; Lamiales; Lamiaceae.